GACGAACGCUGGCGGCGUGCUUAACACAUGCAAGUCGAACGGAAAGGCCCUGCUUUUGUGUGGUGCUCGAGUGGCGAACGGGUGAGUAACACGUGAGUAACCUGCCCUUGAUAUUGUGCUAACUUCAGGGAACUAGGACUAAUACCGGACUGGAACUCCUGCUUCAUGCUAGAGCUUGGAAAGUUUCGGCGGUUGGGGAUGGACUCGUGGCUUAUCAGCUUGUUGUUGGGGUAGUGGCUUACCAAGUCUUUGCCGGGUAGCCGGCCUGAGAGGAUGACCGGACACACUGGGACUGAGAUAAGGCACGGACUCCUACCGGAGGCAGCAGGGGGGAAUAGUACAAAGUAGGCGGAAGCCUGAUGCAGCAAAGCCGCGUGGGGGAUGACAGGCUUCGGGUUGGAAUCCGCUUUCGCCUGUGACGAAGAGUGAGUGACGGUAAUGGGUAAAGAAGCACCGGCUAACUACGUG
This 468-nucleotide ribosomal RNA is filed under the name uncultured bacterium. RNAcentral describes it as "partial 16S ribosomal RNA". It matches the Rfam family "Bacterial small subunit ribosomal RNA", at positions 28 to 507 of the family's 1533-position model. The record is from RNAcentral.